This 338-nucleotide long non-coding RNA is filed under the name Podarcis lilfordi (Lilford's wall lizard). Lineage: Eukaryota; Metazoa; Chordata; Lepidosauria; Squamata; Lacertidae. The record is from RNAcentral.
UUUUUUUUUUUUUAAAUCAUAUUUAUUAAAGUUUCCAAAAAUAUAAAAAUACAAAGAAAAAAAAGAAAAAGAAAAAAAGAUAUUUAAAAGCCUUACUUUCAUUGCCUACUUUCUGGGACUCCCCCCCUCCCCCCCCCCGACUGUAUUCCCCUUUCCUUAAUUUAGUUCUACAAGCUCUCACUCCCAAUUUGAAGCUUAAUUUGUUUAACCCACUAUCCAAAUUGAAUUAUACAAAUCUUACCACCGUCCCACAUCAUUAACAAGAAAAGAAAAAAGAUUUUCCCCAAGAUCCACCCCAGUUCCUUCCACGAAUUCCCUAUUUUUAAACACGUCCAAUC